This 443-nucleotide ribosomal RNA is filed under the name uncultured bacterium. RNAcentral's name for it is "partial 16S ribosomal RNA". It matches the Rfam family "Bacterial small subunit ribosomal RNA", at positions 338 to 795 of the family's 1533-position model. The record is from RNAcentral.
CCUACGGGAGGCAGCAGUGGGGAAUAUUGGACAAUGGGGGCAACCCUGAUCCAGCAACGCCGCGUGAGUGAAGAAGGUCUUCGGGAUUUAAAGCUCUUUUUGUAGGGAAGAAAAAGGUGACGGUACCUGAGUAAGAAGCCUCGGCUAACUACGUGCCAGGAGCCGCGCUAAUACGUAGGCGGCGAGCGUUAUCCGGAUUGACUGGGUGUAAAGGGUGCGUAGGUGGUUAGGCAAGUGAGGAGGGAAAUGCAAGGGACUAACCCUUGAACUGCUGCGGAAACUGUUGGACUUGAGUGCAGGAGAGGUAAGCGGAAUGCGUGGUGUAGCGGUGGAAUGCGUAGAUAUUAGGAAGAACACCAGUGGCGAAGGCGGGUUACUGGACUGUAACUGACGCUGAGGCACGAAAGCGUGGGUAGCAAACAGGAUUAGAUACCCGUGUAGUC